RNAcentral lists this ribosomal RNA (471 nucleotides) under Triticum aestivum (bread wheat). RNAcentral describes it as "partial small subunit ribosomal RNA". The record is from RNAcentral. Lineage: Eukaryota; Viridiplantae; Streptophyta; Magnoliopsida; Poales; Poaceae.
AUGAGAAGCAAAUUUCAUGGUCCUUUCUGGAAAGAUUUGGUCAUUGAUUAUGGUCUUCGUCAUUGUGAUAGAAUGACCGUUAGGCUUGAGCAUUAUGGAACGUUGAUUGGUGUUGAUUUUUAUCGGGGUGGAGAUAUGUUGUCUCCUUUAUCUUCCGUUGCUUUUGAUGGUUUGAGCGACUCUGAGAAGCAGCUUGUUGGUAGUUAUUAUUGCACCUGUGGUGUUUUUCUCAAUUAUCAGCAGAUGUAUUUCAUGACCUGUCAACUCUUUAAUGAUGAGCACAUACCCCGUUGUCCUUUUGUUUACAGGAUUAAUUCCAUGAAUGUUAAUGGUCAUCAUAUGGUUAUUCCUGGCAUUGUUCUGAGAAGUUUGAAGGAGUUUGUGACAUUUCCAAGGACAGACGUUUUAACUCUUGAUGUUACUUUGGAAUCUCGUGAUGAUGAUAUACGUGUGAGCACUCCUUGUUGCUAG